UACGUAGGGCGCAAGCGUUGUCCGGAAUUAUUGGGCGUAAAGAGCUCGUAGGCGGUCUGUCACGUCGGAUGUGAAAGCCCGGGGCUUAACCCCGGGUCUGCAUUCGAUACGGGCAGACUAGAGUGUGGUAGGGGAGAUCGGAAUUCCUGGUGUAGCGGUGAAAUGCGCAGAUAUCAGGAGGAACACCGGUGGCGAAGGCGGAUCUCUGGGCCAUUACUGACGCUGAGGAGCGAAAGCGUGGGGAGCGAACAGG
This 253-nucleotide ribosomal RNA is filed under the name uncultured bacterium. Its description in RNAcentral is "partial 16S ribosomal RNA". It matches the Rfam family "Bacterial small subunit ribosomal RNA", at positions 524 to 776 of the family's 1533-position model. The record is from RNAcentral. RNAcentral also lists the same sequence under 1 other name.